This 1978-nucleotide long non-coding RNA is filed under the name Helianthus annuus (common sunflower). RNAcentral's name for it is "hypothetical non coding rna". Lineage: Eukaryota; Viridiplantae; Streptophyta; Magnoliopsida; Asterales; Asteraceae. The record is from RNAcentral.
GUAGAGAAGGCCAGGAGAGGGAAGAACCCUACUUCUCCAAGUUAGCAAGAAUUUAACAAAUUGGAUGUGUUUUUGGAUGGAAAUCGAAUGCAUGUGAUCAAUUCCUCAUUCAUCUAAGGGUUUCCAACAUGGGUCAUGUCAAUAAGGGCACAAACAUGGAAGCGCCACGGGUCGAAGGUAAACACGGAAGCUAUGUGUAAAUUCGGACGUACGAGGUAAGUAUUUCUCGGACUCCCUCUUUAGUAGUAAAGAGAUUCCUUACAUAAUAAUGUUAGUAGUUGUGUCGAAACGUGAAUUUGAUGAUAAUAUCAAGUAUUAGUACCAAGUGAGUGAUUAUCCGGAACCACUCCUUAAGGUAGUAAAGUACGGUUAUGUAAUAGUUAUUUAAGUAUGCUAUUGGAAAUUAGAAAGGUAUGGGUAUGUAGAAGUAAAGGUUUCCGCUAAGUCGAUCAAACGGGUCAAAAUGAGAGUUUACUCAUUUCAGUAUAAUUUGCAUAAGUGACGAUAAAGUAUAAUAAUUGUUAGAAGAUAAGUGAAUUUUGUUGUUGAUGAUAAUAUCAAGUAAGUAGUAUUAAGUAAGUGAUUUUUCCGGAAUCACUUCUUAGUUUAUUUAAGCAAGUUAAUGCGAUAAUUAUUUAAGUAUGAUAAUCGGAGUCUAAUAAGGUUUGGUUAUAUAGAAGUGAAGGUUUCCGUUAAGUAGACCAAACGGGUCAAAAUAAAGUAAAACGCAAACCGGGUAACGGGAGCGUAAAAUAAAUGAAUUAUGGAUUCGGGUAAUGGAUUACAGCUUAGAUAUGUUAAGAAAUGAACCCCAAGCGACUAAAAUAAGUUUGGACAGGGUUGGAUGUAAAAUGGGUGAAAAAUAAACGUGCAGAGUUGACACGGCCGGGUGAACACUUGACACGGCCGGGUGAAGGUUCUGUGAAAAAUAUAUGUUUACUUGACACGGCCGGGUGGACACUUGACACGGCCGGGUGAAGGGGCUGAAAAAGAAAGAAGAAAAAAAUAUAUAAUUUCUUGUGUUUAAUGCUUUUGUUCAAAUGCUUUGAUUUCUAAUCGUUUGAAUGAAAUUGCAUGAUAGGUAACGAUGUACUUUAGACCUCGGAGGUAUAAGGAAAUUUUACUAAUAAAAUUUCACUUCAUAUAGUUGAUUUAAAUGAAUGAGUUUAAUGUAUACUAGGAAUCGGGUUCAUAAACCCCAUGUACGAAACUCCGGAUAAUGUAAAACUUCUAUAGUUAUAAUGUUCAUAUGAGUAUUGAGUAUAAACAAAUGAGUUGUUUGGUAAAAACAUGAACGGGUUAAUAAUUAGUAAAUGAAUAUUAAGUCGAAAACAUAUAAGUCGUAAACAUGCGAAUGGAUGGGACUUGUUUAUAAGUAGGUCUAUUAUCGGAUGAUAUGAUAGUAUAAGUACAUGAGCAUAAUGUGGUAAGUAAGAGCUUGUAGGUGUGUGUGUAUGUAGGAAUGUAUGCGUGUAUAAAUGUAAUUUGCUAUGAAUGUAUGUGGUUAUGGUUUUCAAUAUAUAUGAGUAUCGAUGAAUACUAAUAAUGUGUCUUGAGAUUGGAAGGUAAUGCAGGAAUGAGAACGUCAGGUUCAUAAGGAAUUGAAGCCGAACGUGGAACAAGAGACUUAAAGAGGAUGAUUGAGUGAAUCCAAGCUUAUAUUGUGAAAUGUUAAAUGAUUUUCGACUAUAUAAAAUUAUGUUGUAUGGUGUUGCCAGUGACUAACGGUUAAGUUGUUUAUGAUGUUCACAAGAAUUACACGGAUCUCCUCUGUUGCUAACAAAGCCAAGCAGGCAUAGAUCGAGUCAAAGAGCAAGGAUUGUACGGAAAGAACGGUCACAUAGCUUUAAUUGUGUAACGCCUUAAAAUGAUACCUGGAAGUGGAUGUUGUAAAUUCAUUUUAGUAAAUGAUUAACAGUUUUGUAUUUGGGCCUUCAUGUAAGUAAUGUGUCUAAUAAAGAAAGAAAUUUUAAGGCUC